UGUAUUAACCCAAAAAGUGCCAUACUUAUUGUAGUAUAUAUACCUAUCAUAUCUUAGACUAUAGCUUCUCAACUUGCCUUCACUAAACCCUAUCUCUUUUUUCUCUAUUCAUUAUCCUCUCUCUCUCUCUCUCUCCUACCUUUAAUUUGCUUCUUAAUGAUGGUUUAUGAGUCGAAAUUAAGCUAGCUGUUUAUUUCUUGUUCUAUACCUCUUAAUUCGCCACCUUUUUAUCUAUCUAUCUAUCUAUCUGUCCAUCUAUCUGUCUAUUUAUCUAUCUAUCUGUCUAUCUAUCUAGGGUUUGUAGGAUUCUCUCGAGUUAUUAGAGAGGAUCCUAGCCUGUUAGUAUUUUGUAAUUUUUACUGUUACUAGACUGUUGAGUUAUUAUCAAAAGGAUCUUAGCUUGUUGUGGGAGAUAUGCAAUCGUUGUUUGCUGAUGCAGCAUCAUUAAGAUUCACAAUCCAUGAAGUUUGAGAGUUGGAUUGAUCCAUUAUAUGCUUUUGGAUUUGCGAAUCUUGAUGAUGCUGCAUUGGCAAUAGACGAUUAAUGAUGCUUAUGAAAGGUAGCUAGGGUAUGUGAAGAACAUCAUAGUAGAUGACUGAGACGUUUAAAGGAGUUGCCGAUUUUUACUUUUCUCAACUAUAUGGUAAGGGAUGAUUUAAGUUCAAGGAUCUUGAAAUUUCUGAACUUUUUACUAAAUUUCAAUGGUUUUUGUUAUGGGUGCUUUGCUUAAUUCCUUUAAUUUGAAACAAAAAAUAAUUAUACUAGCUAGGGUGUUUUCCCCUCUUUUUCAAGACAAAAAUAAUUCUACCAUAUCAUUUGGCGUAUCUAAAAAAUGACACAUCCACAUCGAUAUAGUUUUUGGGACGGCGUGUGCACAACAUGCGCGUUAUGGCAUGCGUAGGCAUGUGCAUACCACGCCCUACCAAUGUACGAUAAAAGUUCCGUUUUCUAGAUGCUCAAUUAUUUUACUCUAGGCUAGGGAAAAUCACUUGAUUAUUUAUCAUCAUUAUUUUUUUUAUAUUUUAUGCCAUAUGUUUGAAAGUUGUUAGAUACUAGAUUAAAUGUUGUUUCAAACAUAAAAACUACGUAAAAUGGAGCCUAAGUUAGAUACAUAUCAGUGUAUAUUUUAUUAAUUUGUAAUAAGUCUUAUAAGCUAUAUUAUAUAAGUUGUCUAGUUUUUAAUAGAGAUAACACUAUCAGCGUAUAUUUUUGUUAAUUUGUAAUAAGUCUUAUAAGCUAUAUUAUAUAAGUUGUCUAGUUUUUAAUAGAGAUCAAACCGGGGUAUUUAUUUUGUGUUAAUUCAUUUUAUAUCAUACUCAAGUGACAAUUCUUUCUCUAUCUUCAGGUUAGUAAGGAUCAUAUUUAAGUCAUUGCAAAUUGAUUGUUAAUAUAUAGAUUAAAUAUUUUUUCGCAUAUUAAUCAGUACUGCAAAGUUAAUUUAGGUCUGUUAUCAAAGAUGAUAUAAAUUUGUCUUGAAUACGAUCUCGACUGCAAUUAUAUUAAAGACUACAUAUACAACACAAGUUGCUUCAUAUAUAAUGUAUAAGUCCUCACGAUCUACGUACCAAUUGGGGUAUCCUUCACUAUUUUUAGGUUAGUAAGGGUCAUAUUCAAGUCUUUGCAAAUUUGUUAAUAGAUUGAACAUCUUUUCGGUUAUUGAUUAAUCCAAAGUUGAUUCAAUUUGGAUAUUAGAUAUGAUAAAAUUUUGUCUAUAGUACGAUCUCGACUACAAUAAUACUAAACUAAAGCUCCUCGAGUUUGGUAUCAUCGCUUUAGUAGUUUUUUGCUCCAAUCACGAGGGUCUGCGUGGGGGCAACGCCCCCUUAAACUUUUCGAUAUAUGUUAUUUAGAAUAUUGAUUUAGUUUUAGUUUUGAGUUUAGUCACAUCUAUUUAGGUCAGUUAGUGGGUAUUAUAUAAACCCUAUAAUUAGCUGUUGCAUGCCUACAUAUUCUGUAAUCUGUAUUCUCUUUUAAACCUAAAAAAAUAGUUACCCCUCAUGUGUGAACUUAGCAGCUUAGCUAACACAUGAAUUAGUGAACCAUAUUAAAUCACUGUGUCGAUUUUUCUUUAAUUCUUCGUCGACACUUUUCUACCCAAGUUGCUUUAAUUGGUAUACAAUGUAUGAGUUCUCUGCCAAGUGGGGAUCAUGGUAAGUCCUUGCCAAAUCCUAGGAAGAUUUACUGAGAGGAGCCUCUCCUUUUUACAAAAUGUAGUGGUACUGAAGUUUAAGUCCUCCGAUUGUCCCCCCAUCCCCACCCCACCAAUAAGAAGCAUAAUUUGGUGUGGGCUGCAGGUUUGCUGGCUUUAGGAGAAUUUAAACAGCUUCACAGCUAGCAAAUUGGUCCCUAUAUAAUAGUACUAUACUACUAUCACCAUCUCUAAAAAAUUAUUAUGUUCAAAUUGUUAUAUAUGCUUACUAUUCAAAGUUACAUUAUAUAUUCUCGAGGGAAAAUGCUGUCUUUUUCACCAUAUAACGUACACUCAUGUAACCAUCAGAUUGCAUAUAGAAAGUGUAUAAUUUGACGUUACGUUACAGGAGUGAAUCUUUCCUCUCUUGUGUUAUUGUUAAUUGUUAUGACGUCUUUUGAUGGAUUCAAAUAAAUGAGUAGGCAAAAAUGGCCAUACGAUCAUACAAUCCAAGCUAAGCUAAUAAGGUUGAGCGACGUGUUGUAUCUUUACCCAUAAGCCGAUUAUAAGCCCCUGCCUUGCAAGCUACGCAGGGUCGGGCCGGCCGGGCCGAACAUCCAACUGUAAAAAGGACCCAUUAAAUUGUCUUUCUCUUCUCAAAAUAAUCUCUAUGUAAGCUUUCCAACUCCAGUAUCUCUCUUAAUAGUAUAACUAACUUCUUUUUUGCUUGAAAACCUUGGCAUUAAACAAGUGAAGAUGGAGGUCAAACAUAACGGGAAACUUUACAUCAACGAUGUGAUACGUACUUACCUCCAAAAAAUUGGCGGGUACAUGUUUAUUGUGAUUGUCUCGAAUGGCGGCAGAGAUGCUAGUUGGCUAGUUAUGCUUAAGAGAUUAUUUUUGAUGAUGGUGGAAUAAAAGAAUUACAGCAGGUUUGUGGUGAAUCUUGAACAAGUUUGAGCACAGAUUUUGGCUAUAUCAUGUGUUAUCUGAACUUGUUAACGAUUCACCUUUAACAAAAAAAAAAACCAAUCAAAAUGACUAGCUAAAGUAUGAAUUUGUAAGAGAGGUCACUUGAGAUCCACUGAAGCAAAAGAACUGCAAAAAUGAGACAAGAUUUGUGCUAUCAGUGUGGAAUAUUGUGCGUCUCAUAUUGUGAGUGGAGGCAGGGCCGUAGUUGCGGGUGUGCGAAGAGCCCCUCUGCAUAGGGACCAUGGUCCAAAAUAUUUUGGAUUUAUCUGAGAGGGCCUAAUUUGCAAAAUAUCAUACUUUGUAUAAACGGCAAACGCUCUACAUCUUCGUCUCCGGACUCCAUAAUUCACGUUCGUUAUUCCCUAUCAUCUUGCUCAAUCUCUUUCACCAAAAAUUCAACCUUUCAUAUCUUUAACUUUAGUAUUGUCAUUAAUAUUUUUUUCAUAAUUAUCAAUAAUAAUAAAGUCAAUCCAUCAAUCA
Molecule: long non-coding RNA, 3580 nt
Organism: Beta vulgaris subsp. vulgaris (sugar beet)
Lineage: Eukaryota; Viridiplantae; Streptophyta; Magnoliopsida; Caryophyllales; Amaranthaceae
Exons: 2
Source: RefSeq, a predicted model, not a curated record